This 451-nucleotide ribosomal RNA is filed under the name uncultured bacterium. RNAcentral describes it as "partial 16S ribosomal RNA". It matches the Rfam family "Bacterial small subunit ribosomal RNA", at positions 354 to 796 of the family's 1533-position model. The record is from RNAcentral.
GUGGGGAAUAUUGGACAAUGGGGGGAACCCUGAUCCAGCCAUGCCGCGUGUGUGAAGAAGGCCUUUUGGUUGUAAAGCACUUUAAGCGAGGAGGAGGCUACCGAGAUUAAUACUCUUGGAUAGUGGACGUUACUCGCAGAAUAAGCACCGGCUAACUCUGUGCCAGCAGCCGCGGUAAUACAGAGGGUGCGAGCGUUAAUCGGAUUUACUGGGCGUAAAGCGCGCGUAGGUGGUUAAUUAAGUCAAAUUUGAUAUCCCCGAGCUUAACUUGGGAAUUGCAUGCGAUACUGGUUAGCUAGAGUAUGGGAGAGGAUGGUAGAAUUCCAGGUGUAGCGGUGAAAUGCGUAGAGAUCUGGAGGAAUACCGAUGGCGAAGGCAGCCAUCUGUCCUAAUACUGACACUGAGGUGCGAAAGCAUGGGGAGCAAACAGGAUUAGAUACCCCUGUAGUCC